GAGAAAGGCCCGCCGCAACGAAGGCCGCUACCCUACGUUUUCUUCGGUUGAACUCCGAUGCUUUCUUG
This 68-nucleotide transfer RNA is filed under the name Trimma preclarum (exquiite pygmy goby). RNAcentral's name for it is "tRNA-Ser". Lineage: Eukaryota; Metazoa; Chordata; Actinopteri; Gobiiformes; Gobiidae. The record is from RNAcentral.